UACGUAGGGGUCGAGCGUUGUCCGGAUUCAUUGGGCGUAAAGAGCUCGUAGGCGGCUUGGCAAGUCGGGUGUGAAAACUUCAGGCUCAACCUGGAGCGGCCACUCGAUACUGCCAUGGCUUGAGUCCGGUAGGGGACCACGGAAUUCCUGGUGUAGCGGUGAAAUGCGCAGAUAUCAGGAGGAACACCGGUGGCGAAGGCGGGUCUCUGGGCAACAACUGACGCUGAGGAGCGAAAGCGUGGGGAGCGAACAGG
This 254-nucleotide ribosomal RNA is filed under the name uncultured bacterium. RNAcentral's name for it is "partial 16S ribosomal RNA". It matches the Rfam family "Bacterial small subunit ribosomal RNA", at positions 524 to 776 of the family's 1533-position model. The record is from RNAcentral.